GAGACACACUUCUGGGGUAAGCCUUGCUUCAGUGGGGCUUUGGUGCUCACUGAGUCUGCCUCCUGAGUGUGUCCCU
This 76-nucleotide microRNA precursor is filed under the name Myotis davidii. RNAcentral's name for it is "mir-9229 microRNA precursor family". It matches the Rfam family "mir-9229 microRNA precursor family". The record is from Rfam by way of RNAcentral. Lineage: Eukaryota; Metazoa; Chordata; Mammalia; Chiroptera; Vespertilionidae.